GGCGGACGGGUGAGUAACACGUGGAUAACCUGCCCUUCGGUGGGGGACAACCAUCCGAAAGGAUGGCUAAUACCGCAUACGUCCAUCUUCUCUGCGGAGGAGAUGGGGAAAGAUUUCGGUCGCCGAAGGAGGGGUCCGCGGGGCAUCAGCUUGAUGGUGAGGUAACGGCUCACCAUGGCAAAGACGCCUAGCUGGUCUGAGAGGAUGAUCAGCCACACUGGGACUGAGACACGGCCCAGACUCCUACGGGAGGCAGCAGUGGGGAAUAUUGGACAAUGGGCGAAAGCCUGAUCCAGCCAUGCCGCGUGAGUGAUGAAGGCCCUCGGGUCGUAAAGCUCUGUGGAGGGGGACGAACACAAUGACGGUACCCCUUUAGCAAGCACCGGCUAACUCCGUGCCAGCAGCCGCGGUAAUACGGAGGGUGCAAACGCUGCUCGGAAUCAUUGGGCGUAAAGCGCACGUA
This 463-nucleotide ribosomal RNA is filed under the name uncultured Pseudomonadota bacterium. RNAcentral describes it as "bacterial SSU rRNA". It matches the Rfam family "Bacterial small subunit ribosomal RNA", at positions 97 to 573 of the family's 1533-position model. Lineage: Bacteria; Pseudomonadati; Pseudomonadota. The record is from RNAcentral.